This 750-nucleotide ribosomal RNA is filed under the name Enterobacter hormaechei subsp. xiangfangensis. RNAcentral's name for it is "bacterial SSU rRNA". It matches the Rfam family "Bacterial small subunit ribosomal RNA", at positions 801 to 1533 of the family's 1533-position model. Lineage: Bacteria; Pseudomonadati; Pseudomonadota; Gammaproteobacteria; Enterobacterales; Enterobacteriaceae. The record is from RNAcentral.
GGACGAGAUGUCGACUGGAGGUUGUGCCCUUGAGGCGUGGCUUCCGGAGCUAACGCGUUAAGUCGACCGCCUGGGGAGUACGGCCGCAAGGUUAAAACUCAAAUGAAUUGACGGGGGCCCGCACAAGCGGUGGAGCAUGUGGUUUAAUUCGAUGCAACGCGAAGAACCUUACCUACUCUUGACAUCCAGAGAACUUAGCAGAGAUGCUUUGGUGCCUUCGGGAACUCUGAGACAGGUGCUGCAUGGCUGUCGUCAGCUCGUGUUGUGAAAUGUUGGGUUAAGUCCCGCAACGAGCGCAACCCUUAUCCUUUGUUGCCAGCGGUUAGGCCGGGAACUCAAAGGAGACUGCCAGUGAUAAACUGGAGGAAGGUGGGGAUGACGUCAAGUCAUCAUGGCCCUUACGAGUAGGGCUACACACGUGCUACAAUGGCGCAUACAAAGAGAAGCGACCUCGCGAGAGCAAGCGGACCUCAUAAAGUGCGUCGUAGUCCGGAUUGGAGUCUGCAACUCGACUCCAUGAAGUCGGAAUCGCUAGUAAUCGUGGAUCAGAAUGCCACGGUGAAUACGUUCCCGGGCCUUGUACACACCGCCCGUCACACCAUGGGAGUGGGUUGCAAAAGAAGUAGGUAGCUUAACCUUCGGGAGGGCGCUUACCACUUUGUGAUUCAUGACUGGGGUGAAGUCUAAAAGGGGGGAACCAAAACAAUUUGGGCCCUGCCCCGUUUCCCCAGGGUGGGAUUACCGUUUUUA